CGACGAUGCGUAGGGGUUCUGAGAGGAAGGUCCCCCACACUGGUACUGAGACACGGACCAGACUCCUACGGGAGGCAGCAG
RNAcentral lists this ribosomal RNA (81 nucleotides) under uncultured bacterium. RNAcentral describes it as "partial 16S ribosomal RNA". It matches the Rfam family "Bacterial small subunit ribosomal RNA", at positions 274 to 354 of the family's 1533-position model. The record is from RNAcentral.